Molecule: transfer RNA, 73 nt
Filed under: Candidatus Dojkabacteria bacterium
Lineage: Bacteria
Description: tRNA-Thr
Rfam family: tRNA
About the family: Transfer RNA (tRNA) molecules are approximately 80 nucleotides in length. Their secondary structure includes four short double-helical elements and three loops (D, anti-codon, and T loops).
Source: RNAcentral
GCUGGAGUAGCUCAGCUGGUAGAGCAGCUGUUUUGUAAACAGCGGGUCGAGGGUUCGAGUCCCUCCUCCAGCU